Molecule: ribosomal RNA, 450 nt
Filed under: uncultured bacterium
Lineage: Bacteria
Description: partial 16S ribosomal RNA
Rfam family: Bacterial small subunit ribosomal RNA
Source: RNAcentral
AUGAACGCUGGCGGCGUGCCUAACACAUGCAAGUCGAGCGGCAGCGAGGGGUGCUUGCACCCUGUCGGCGAGCGGCGGACGGCUGAGUAACGCGUGGGAACGUGCCCCAAAGUGAGGAAUAACUGCCCGAAAGGGUAGCUAAUACCGCAUAUUAUCUUCGGAUCAAAGGAUUUAUCCGCUUUGGGAGCGGCUCGCGUCGGAUUAGGUAGUUGGUGAGGUAAUGGCUCACCAAGCCGACGAUCCGUAGCUGGUCUGAGAGGAUGACCAGCCAGACUGGAACUGAGACACGGUCCAGACUCCUACGGGAGGCAGCAGUGAGGAAUCUUCCACAAUGGGCGAAAGCCUGAUGGAGCAACGCCGCGUGCAGGACGAAGGCCUUCGGGUUGUAAACUGCUUUUAUAAGUGAGGAAUAUGACGGUAACUGAUGAAUAAGGAUCGGCUAACUACGUG